RNAcentral lists this ribosomal RNA (254 nucleotides) under uncultured bacterium. RNAcentral describes it as "partial 16S ribosomal RNA". It matches the Rfam family "Bacterial small subunit ribosomal RNA", at positions 524 to 776 of the family's 1533-position model. The record is from RNAcentral.
UACGUAGGGGGCAAGCGUUGUCCGGAUUUAUUGGGCGUAAAGGGCGCGUAGGCGGCCACCGCAAGUCAAUUGUGAAAUCUCCGGGCUUAACUCGGAAAGGUCAACUGAUACUGCGGGGCUAGAGUGCGGAAGGGGCAACUGGAAUUCUCGGUGUAGCGGUGAAAUGCGUAGAUAUCGGGAAGAACACCCGUGGCUAAGACGGCUCUCUAGUACGGUACUGACGCUGAGACGCGAAAGCGUGGGGAGCGAACAGG